UCUCUUUCUCGUGUCUCAUCUAUGAUCUUCAUGAUCCGUAGGACUCCGAUGGGAACUGGAUCCCUGGGGCGAUGUUCAUUGUUAUCUAUCUCGUCGGCGCCGCCGCCAUCUUAUCCGAAAAAGGCGAACUCAGGGUCUCCGCCGACAUGGACAUCACCUACCUCUCUCCGGCCAAGAUCGAUGAUGAGGUGGAGGUGGAUGCUCGAGUGCUAGGGCACAAGGGGGAGGGUGUCGGCAGUGCUUGUGGAGCUUCAGAAGAAGAGAAAUGACGAAAUGGUGGCACUGGGCAAGCUCUGGAUGGCAUCAGGACGGCCAUUGAUCAAAUCCAGCAAACUUUGAAGAUCAAAACCCUAAUUUUGUGCUGCAGGGCCGGCUAGAGGGGUGUGGGCAUAUCAGAGGCACAUGCAAAAGACAAACGUGCACAUCAUGGCUCUCAACCUUGUAAGAAGAGUUUCAUCGAAGCCAAAAGAGAAGCAAACAAUGCAUGAACUCCUUACGCCACCAUCCACCCUCGGAAUAAGUUGUGGAGACAAUGAUCUCUUCCUCAUCUUUCUCUGAAUUAUGUGUUUUAUGUGUGUGUUGAGUUCAGUCUUAGACUGAUUUUAUGAGUAUGCAACUGUGAAGAAUAUUUUGUUAAUCAUUGUUUGCUAAGUUGAGAGCUUCUCUUGUGGCUUACACACAUA
Long non-coding RNA from Dioscorea cayenensis subsp. rotundata (Guinea yam), 683 nucleotides. RefSeq lists it as uncharacterized. The record is from RefSeq and is a predicted model, not a curated record. The transcript is spliced from 3 exons. Lineage: Eukaryota; Viridiplantae; Streptophyta; Magnoliopsida; Dioscoreales; Dioscoreaceae.